Molecule: ribosomal RNA, 497 nt
Filed under: uncultured bacterium
Lineage: Bacteria
Description: partial 16S ribosomal RNA
Rfam family: Bacterial small subunit ribosomal RNA
Source: RNAcentral
GAUGAACGCUGGCGGCGUGCCUAAUACAUGCAAGUCGAGCGAACAGACGAGGAGCUUGCUCCUCUGACGUUAGCGGCGGACGGGUGAGUAACACGUGGAUAACCUACCUAUAAGACUGGGAUAACUUCGGGAAACCGGAGCUAAUACCGGAUAAUAUAUUGAACCGCAUGGUUCAAUAGUGAAAGACGGUUUUGCUGUCACUUAUAGAUGGAUCCGCGCCGCAUUAGCUAGUUGGCAAGGUAACGGCUUACCAAGGCAACGAUGCGUAGCCGACCUGAGAGGGUGAUCGGCCACACUGGAACUGAGACACGGUCCAGACUCCUACGGGAGGCAGCAGUAGGGAAUCUUCCGCAAAGGGCGAAAGCCUGACGGAGCAACGCCGCGUGAGUGAUGAAGGUCUUCGGAUCGUAAAACUCUGUUAUUAGGGAAGAACAAAUGUGUAAGUAACUAUGCACGUCUCGACGGUACCUAAUCAGAAAGCCACGGCUAACUACGUG